This 468-nucleotide ribosomal RNA is filed under the name uncultured bacterium. RNAcentral's name for it is "partial 16S ribosomal RNA". It matches the Rfam family "Bacterial small subunit ribosomal RNA", at positions 28 to 507 of the family's 1533-position model. The record is from RNAcentral.
GACGAACGCUGGCGGCGUGCUUAACACAUGCAAGUCGAACGGAAAGGCCCUGCUUUUGUGGGGUGCUCGAGUGGCGAACGGGUGAGUAACACGUGAGUAACCUGCCCUUGACUUUGGGAUAACUUCAGGAAACUGGGGCUAAUACCGGAUAGGAGCUCCUGCUGCAUGGUGGUGGUUGGAAAGUUUCGGCGGUUGGGGAUGGACUCGCGGCUUAUCAGCUUGUUGGUGGGGUAGUGGCUUACCAAGGCUUUGACGGGUAGCCGGCCUGAGAGGGUGACCGGCCACAAUGGGACUGAGAUACGGACCAGACUCCUACGGGAGGCAGCAGUGGGGAAUAUUGCACAAUGGGCGGAAGCCUGAUGCAGCAACGCCGCGUGCGGGAUGACGGCCUUCGGGUUGUAAACCGCUUUCGCCUGUGACGAAGCGUGAGUGACGGUAAUGGGUAAAGAAGCACCGGCUAACUACGUG